This 494-nucleotide ribosomal RNA is filed under the name uncultured bacterium. Its description in RNAcentral is "partial 16S ribosomal RNA". It matches the Rfam family "Bacterial small subunit ribosomal RNA", at positions 28 to 507 of the family's 1533-position model. The record is from RNAcentral.
GACGAACGCUGGCGGCGUGCUUAACACAUGCAAGUCGAACGGUGAAGCGCCUUCCUGUUUGGUGGGGGUGGAUGAGGGGCGAACGGGUGAGUAACACGUGAGUAACCUGCCCCCUUCUUCUGGAUAACCGCGUGAAAGUGUGGCUAAUACGGGAUAUUCUGGGUCUGUCGCAUGAUGGGUCUGGGAAAGAUGUUGUUUCGGUGGGGGAUUGGCUCGCGGCCUAUCAGGUUGUUGGUGGGGUGGUGGCCUAGCAAGGCGGUGACGGGUAGCCGGCCUGGGAGGGUGGACGGGCAGGUCGGGGAGGAGACACGGCCAAGCUGCGUACGGGAGGCAGCAGUGAGUACUACUGGAGGAAGGGGGCGAGCAUGAUGCAGAGACGGCGCGAGAGUGAUGGAGGCCUUCCGGUUGAGAGCUUCAUUCGCUAGGGAAGUAGGGCUGUUUUGUCUGUGAGGGGGUUGACGGUAGCUGGAUAAGAAGCGCCGGCUAACUACGUG